CCCUUAGAUGUUCUGGGCCGCACGCGCGCUACACUGACAGAGUACAAUAAGUGCUCCUGCGUCGAAAGACGUGGGUAAUCUGCCAAACUCUGUCGUGCUGGGGAUAGACCUUUGCAAUUAUGGGUCUUCAACGAGGAAUGCCUAGUAAACGUAGGUCAUCAGCCUACAUUGAUUACGUCCCUGCUCUUUGUACACACCGCCCGUCGCACCUACCGAUUGGAUGGUCCGGUGAAGUGCUCGGACCAUUGCAGCGUGCCUUCUGGCGUGCAGCAGUGGGAAGUCCACUAAACCUUAUCAUCUAGAGGAAGGUGAAGUCGUANCA
This 322-nucleotide ribosomal RNA is filed under the name uncultured eukaryote. RNAcentral's name for it is "partial 18S ribosomal RNA". It matches the Rfam family "Eukaryotic small subunit ribosomal RNA", at positions 1470 to 1796 of the family's 1831-position model. The record is from RNAcentral.